RNAcentral lists this ribosomal RNA (444 nucleotides) under uncultured bacterium. RNAcentral describes it as "bacterial SSU rRNA". It matches the Rfam family "Bacterial small subunit ribosomal RNA", at positions 958 to 1399 of the family's 1533-position model. The record is from RNAcentral.
AACGCGAAGAACCUUACCAGCUCUUGACAUGCCCGGUAUGGGGAAGAGAGAUCUUCUUCUUCAGUUCGGCUGGCCGGGACACAGGUGCUGCAUGGCUGUCGUCAGCUCGUGUCGUGAGAUGUUGGGUUAAGUCCCGCAACGAGCGCAACCCUCGCCCUUAGUUGCCAUCAUUCAGUUGGGCCCUCUAAGGGGACUGCCGGUGAUAAGCCGCGAGGAAGGUGGGGAUGACGUCAAGUCCUCAUGGCCCUUACGGGCUGGGCUACACACGUGCUACAAUGGCGGUGACAGUGGGACGCAAUGGGGCAACCCUGCGCAAAUCUCAAAAAGCCGUCCCAGUUCGGAUUGGGCUCUGCAACUCGAGCCCAUGAAGUUGGAAUCGCUAGUAAUCGUGGAUCAGCACGCCACGGUGAAUACGUUCCCGGGCCUUGUACACACCGACGCGUA